This 764-nucleotide ribosomal RNA is filed under the name Exiguobacterium mexicanum. Its description in RNAcentral is "bacterial SSU rRNA". It matches the Rfam family "Bacterial small subunit ribosomal RNA", at positions 1 to 739 of the family's 1533-position model. Lineage: Bacteria; Bacillati; Bacillota; Bacilli; Caryophanales. The record is from RNAcentral.
GUGUUUAGUAUUCUCCUCUUUCAGGACGAACGCUGGCGGCGUGCCUAAUACAUGCAAGUCGAGCGCAGGAAAUCGACGGAACCCUUCGGGGGGAAGUCGACGGAAUGAGCGGCGGACGGGUGAGUAACACGUAAAGAACCUGCCCUCAGGUCUGGGAUAACCACGAGAAAUCGGGGCUAAUACCGGAUGGGUCAUCGGACCGCAUGGUCCGAGGAUGAAAGGCGCUUCGGCGUCGCCUGGGGAUGGCUUUGCGGUGCAUUAGCUAGUUGGUGGGGUAAUGGCCCACCAAGGCGACGAUGCAUAGCCGACCUGAGAGGGUGAUCGGCCACACUGGGACUGAGACACGGCCCAGACUCCUACGGGAGGCAGCAGUAGGGAAUCUUCCACAAUGGACGAAAGUCUGAUGGAGCAACGCCGCGUGAACGAUGAAGGCCUUCGGGUCGUAAAGUUCUGUUGUAAGGGAAGAACAAGUGCCGCAGGCAAUGGCGGCACCUUGACGGUACCUUGCGAGAAAGCCACGGCUAACUACGUGCCAGCAGCCGCGGUAAUACGUAGGUGGCAAGCGUUGUCCGGAAUUAUUGGGCGUAAAGCGCGCGCAGGCGGCCUCUUAAGUCUGAUGUGAAAGCCCCCGGCUCAACCGGGGAGGGCCAUUGGAAACUGGGAGGCUUGAGUAUAGGAGAGAAGAGUGGAAUUCCACGUGUAGCGGUGAAAUGCGUAGAGAUGUGGAGGAACACCAGUGGCGAAGGCGACUCUUUGGCCUAUAA